Long non-coding RNA from Phyllopteryx taeniolatus (common seadragon), 2080 nucleotides. RefSeq lists it as uncharacterized. NCBI's taxonomy places the organism in Eukaryota, Metazoa, Chordata, Actinopteri, Syngnathiformes, Syngnathidae. The transcript is spliced from 4 exons. The record is from RefSeq and is a predicted model, not a curated record.
UUCCACAUAUGCUGUGAUGGACAUAGAAGGGGGCGCACCCAAAGGAGGUGGACACCCAGUCCUACUAAGUGGAUCCAUGACUGAGAAGGCAUUUGCACGUAUAAGGAAAUGAAGAACGCAACAGUCUGGCGAAGUCAAUGGGUAACGGGCUUGAUCCAGUUAUUGCAAGUAAGGUUAUUUGUCUGUGUGCCCCACAAUUGACUGGCGACCAGUUCCCCCGCCCAAAGUCAACUGGGAUAGUCUCUCUCUCUCUCUCUCUCCCUCUCUCUUUGACUGUGCGGAACAGAGAUGGAGAGGGGCGGGAGCACACACGGCAGCACACAGAUGAGGGAGGAAGACGAGUGGAAACAGCAAGGUGCCAUAAGACAAAACACCAACGUGCUGGUGGAUGGAAACUUUGCGUUGGGGUUUUCAACAAAACACACAAAAGGAUCCCACUAGAAUAUUGAACUUGCACAAGAUGCAUUCAUUCCGACUUUUGCAUUGGUGCAAUAUCGCUAUUUUAAUAUUUACAGUCAGAAGUGGGCUCAAGUCAUAGCUUUGCAAGUCACAAGUAAGUCUCAAGUCUUUACCCUCAAGUCCUAAGUCAAGUUUCAAGUCGAGAGGGACAAGUCACAAGUCAAGUCCCAAGUCAAGACAAGCAAGCCCUGAGUCAAGUUGCAAGUUCUACACUUUGAGUUUUGAGUCCUUUCGAGUCAUUUUAGUCACAGUUGGUUUGGCAACUGUUUCCUUCAGUGGCCGAUCGUUCAACUAAUGGUUUUGACGUGAUUCAAAAUUAUAAUCUCCGUUGCACGGCGUCUUCACAUCGCAGUUUACAUUCAAUCAAAAUGCACGGAAGCUUUUCCCUACGGUGAAAAUACUUUUCCGGGUUUGCGAGCCGUGCCGCUGCGUUGCCUCAGCUAAAGCCAUAUAAAUAGUACGUAAAGCAUCAAAUGUUGUUUUACAUCAAUGCUUAACUAUAAUCAUAAUGUAUAAUGUGCCUGUCGAUGAAAAAGCAAAGCUUGUAACCAGAAUGUAUGCAAAGUAGAUCCCUCGCUCGGUACGUUCAAAAACAAAUGGAGGCAGCAGCUUCCUUGCUAAUAUCCACACUUUUCCCUUCAAUUCUAGCCAGCAUCCUGCUUCUUCCUUAACUCUUACUCUAUCUUUUUAUAGUUUAAGAAAUGUGAUCAAGUACAAUAUAUUUUGUGAAAUGGGACGUUCCCCUUCCGGGUGUUUCGUCUUUUGUAAAAGUGUUUCUGCUUUUGUUAAUGUGUUGUCUGAAAUGUAAAAGUGUUUCGGUUUUUGUUCAUUUUUUUUUCUGAACUUUAAAAGUGUUUUGGCUUUUGCCAAUUUGUUUUCUGAAAUGUGUUUCGUUUUUUGUCCAAUUGUUUUCUGAAACAUAAAAGUGUUUUGGCUUAUGUUAAUUUGUUUUCUGAAAUGUAAGUGUUUCAGUUUUUGUUCAAUUGUUUUCUGAACUGUAAAAGUGUUUCAGCUUUUGUUCAUUUGUUUUCUGAAAUGUAAGUGUUUCGGUUUUUGUUGAUUUGUUUUCUGAAAUGCAAAAGUGUUUUGGCUUUUGUUAAUCUGUUUUCUGGAAUGUAAAAGUGUUUCACAAUUUGUUAUAUUGUUUUGCACUUCCAGGCCACCGUAAUGUUGUUAUGAAGCCACAAUUUUAUCCAACUGUGGUAUCUCAGUCGGAACACGAGGCGGCACUUCAUAAAAAUAUUACAUCAAAAAGAGGCGAAGAAGAAGAAAAGGACACGAAGAACAAUGUAGCUUCAUGUCGAAUAGAUGCUAGCUGUGUGCUGAGUUGUAAAUAAAACUGAAUUUGAAGAUAAGAAGUAUGGAAAAUGGAUGGAUGGAUGGAUGAAUGGAUAGAUGGAAAUAUCUGUUAAGAACACCACACUGACUAAACCAGACUGUAAUGAACAGUCCACGGCCGACCUGCCAUGGAACACAAAGCUAGCUGCUAAUGCUAAUGAAAACAAGCAUACUCGUGUUACUAGUAUUUCCACAUAGUUUACAGGCAGGACACGCCCUGCUCCAAUACGAUUGACUCCAGGACACGGGCCGCUCCAUUAUGAUUGGCUGUUGUAUCCCUGUA